This 473-nucleotide long non-coding RNA is filed under the name Pan troglodytes (chimpanzee). RNAcentral describes it as "long non-coding RNA NONPTRT000166". The record is from RNAcentral. Lineage: Eukaryota; Metazoa; Chordata; Mammalia; Primates; Hominidae.
GGGCCUCAUCACAUGAGAAGAAGCACCUGGAAAGGGCAGUGCUUAAAGCGAUGAGACUUCAGGGGUGGGAUAUAGAGGGGAUGGGAGUGGGACCAAAGGCCCACCUCUCACUUCCUUGCCAUCCUGGGAGGUGGUGGGGAAUGCAGAACCAGGUUCAGGGGAGGGAAAGGGGCUAGCAUGAAGGUCCAGGGCAGGAAUGCUGAGGGCUCUUCAGCCUGGGCAUCACCCAGUGCUGCCUCCCGUCUUUAGGAGUUAUAGGAGUAUACGGAGCUCCCCACCGAAGGAAGGAGACAGCGGGGGCCCUGGAAGUAGCAGAUGAUGAAGACACCCAGACAGAGGAGCCCUUGGAUCAGAGGGCAGCACAGAUAGUGGAAGAGGCCUUGUCCCUGGAAAACCAGCCUGGGGCUGGGGCUGCUAUCUCAGCCUCAGCCCCAGCUCUGCCAUCUUGAGAGCCAGCAGCUCCAGAGGGCAAC